AGCGAACGCUGGCGGCAGGCUUAACACAUGCAAGUCGAGCGGGCCUUUCGGGGUCAGCGGCGGACGGGUGAGUAGCGCGUGGGAACGUGCCCUCUGGUUCGGAAUAACUCAGGGAAACUUGAGCUAAUACCGGAUACGCCCUUUUGGGGAAAGGCUUGCUGCCGGAGGAUCGGCCCGCGUCUGAUUAGCUAGUUGGUGAGGUAACGGCUCACCAAGGCGACGAUCAGUAGCUGGUCUGAGAGGAUGAUCAGCCACACUGGGACUGAGACACGGCCCAGACUCCUACGGGAAGCAGCAGUGGGGAAUAUUGGACAAUGGGCGCAAGCCUGAUCCAGCCAUGCCGCGUGAGUGAUGAAGGCCUUAGGGUUGUAAAGCUCUUUUAUCCGGGACGAUAAUGACGGUACCGGAGGAAUAAGCCCCGGCUAACUUCGUG
Molecule: ribosomal RNA, 433 nt
Filed under: uncultured bacterium
Lineage: Bacteria
Description: partial 16S ribosomal RNA
Rfam family: Bacterial small subunit ribosomal RNA
Source: RNAcentral